This 468-nucleotide ribosomal RNA is filed under the name uncultured bacterium. Its description in RNAcentral is "partial 16S ribosomal RNA". It matches the Rfam family "Bacterial small subunit ribosomal RNA", at positions 28 to 507 of the family's 1533-position model. The record is from RNAcentral.
GACGAACGCUGGCGGCGUGCUUAACACAUGCAAGUCGAACGGAAAGGCCCUGCUUUUGUGGGGUGCUCGAGUGGCGAACGGGUGAGUAACACGUGAGUAACCUGCCCUUGACUUUGGGAUAACUUCAGGAAACUGGGGCUAAUACCGGAUAGGAGCUCCUGCUGCAUGGUGGGGGUUGGAAAGUUUCGGCGGUUGGGGAUGGACUCGCGGCUUAUCAGCUUGUUGGUGGGGUAGUGGCUUACCAAGGCUUUGACGGGUAGCCGGCCUGAGAGGGUGACCGGCCACAUUGGGACUGAGAUACGGCCCAGACUCCUACGGGAGGCAGCAGUGGGGAAUCUUGCACAAUGGGCGGAAGCCUGAUGCAGCAACGCCGCGUGCGGGAUGACGGCCUUCGGGUUGUAAACCGCUUUCGACUGUGACGAAGAGUGAGUGACGGUAAUGGGUAAAGAAGCACCGGCUAACUACGUG